UUGAGGGAAAAAAAGGAAUGAGGCUUAUUUUUUUCUCUGCUAGGGCUCCAGCACUGAUCCUGGGUCCGGUCAUCGCCUUGCCGUGGCACCACCACACCGGUCACCGUACACGGUGGCCAAAAAUCGCCCGUAGGUAAUUUUUUCUCUUUUUUUUGUAUUUAAUAUAUAUAUUUAGAUUGAUAGAUUCAAAAAAAAAAAUAAAAGUAAAGUAGUAAAAGAAAAUAAGAUCACCUCAAGUUUUUGGAUUUUUGACUUUUGAUUCUCUGGUUCGUGUUAUACUCGUGUUCUUAUUUUUUUUGAAUCACUGCUUGCAUAUGUGUUUUAAAUCUAUUCUUUGUAUUGAUGGCAAAAUAGCCGAAAGUAUUCCCCUUUUACAAAUGAUCUCUGUUUUGGCUUUUUAAAGCCCUCCUAUUGUGUGUUUGCUUGAUCUUGUAGGUGGAGCAGGUGGUGGUGGCAGACGGCAUGGGGUACAGAGGGCAGUUGGCCGACAGUCAGAGGCAAGUGGGGCGUCGGCUGAACUUAAGGGCUAGGAUUUUUUCUUUUUUAUUUUGUUUGGGCUAGGGUUAGGUUGUAAUAGGUUGUUGGUUGAUGGGUUUGGGUUGUGGGUUAAGCUGGGGUUUGGGCUUCUGUUGGGUUAAAUUUUAGGUGGGUCAAAAGUGGGUAGUGGUUAUUUAGUUUGGUUGGGUAUUGGGUUUAGUGUAAAUGAGUCAUGGGGCAAAAUUGGGCUAUAACAGCAUCGAUAUUAUUAUCUAUACAAAGGGGACAUCAAUAUAUAUAUAUACACAUAUAUAUAUAUACACCUCAGCUUGUUGCUCAUCAUAAGGGUGUUCUUGAGAAUGAUUUUCUUCCAUUCCUUUGUUGUAUCUUGAAAGAGUAUGUUCCAUGCUACAUUCAUAAAAUGUCAUGUUUAAAAAAAUAACAAUAAAUUAAAAAUAAAAUUCUAACUCAUUAUUAGGGUUUAGGUUUUUUUACCUAUAUUGUUUGGACUUUUGCCGAUCAAAUUUAUGACAAGUUAUUCUUAG
RNAcentral lists this long non-coding RNA (1022 nucleotides) under Gossypium barbadense (sea-island cotton). RNAcentral's name for it is "long non-coding RNA (GBAR_LNC011022)". The record is from RNAcentral. Lineage: Eukaryota; Viridiplantae; Streptophyta; Magnoliopsida; Malvales; Malvaceae.